This 344-nucleotide ribosomal RNA is filed under the name uncultured eukaryote. Its description in RNAcentral is "SSU rRNA". It matches the Rfam family "Eukaryotic small subunit ribosomal RNA", at positions 567 to 963 of the family's 1831-position model. The record is from RNAcentral.
CCAGCAGCCGCGGUAAUUCCAGCUCCAAUAGCGUAUAUUAAAGUUGUUGCAGUUAAAAAGCUCGUAGUUGAAUUUCGGAUCGCCACUCCCGCCACUUCAUUGUGGCGAUGUGGAGUUCCUCCUCGCCUUUGGCGUCAUUUACUGUGAAAAAAUUAGAGUGUUCAAAGCAGGCAAUCGCUUGAAUACAUUAGCAUGGAAUAAUAAGAUAGGAUCUUCGUCUAUUUUGUUGGUUGCGGACUGAGAUAAUGAUUAAUAGGGAUAGUUGGGGGUGUCUGUAUUGUGUUGUCAGAGGUGAAAUUCUUAGAUUUACACAAGACAAACUACUGCGAAAGCAUUCACCAAGG